GGCUACGUAGCUCAGUUGGUUAGAGCACACGAUUCAUAAUCGUGUUGUCGGUGGUUCAAGUCCACCCGUAGCCACCA
This 77-nucleotide transfer RNA is filed under the name Gammaproteobacteria bacterium. RNAcentral's name for it is "tRNA-Met". It matches the Rfam family "tRNA". From Rfam's summary of the family: Transfer RNA (tRNA) molecules are approximately 80 nucleotides in length. Lineage: Bacteria; Pseudomonadati; Pseudomonadota; Gammaproteobacteria. The record is from RNAcentral.